CUCCGUUUCACAAUGUAAGUUAUUGUAGCAUUCUCCACAUUCAUAUUGAUGUUAAUGAAUCUAGAUAGAUAUAUAUGUCUAGAUUCAUUAACAUCAAUAUGAAUGUGGGAACUGCUAGAAUGACUUACAUUGUGAAACGG
This 140-nucleotide unclassified non-coding RNA is filed under the name Oryza sativa (Asian cultivated rice). RNAcentral describes it as "partial microRNA MIR455d precursor". Lineage: Eukaryota; Viridiplantae; Streptophyta; Magnoliopsida; Poales; Poaceae. The record is from RNAcentral.